Equus caballus (horse) is the source of this 145-nucleotide microRNA precursor. The record is from Ensembl. NCBI's taxonomy places the organism in Eukaryota, Metazoa, Chordata, Mammalia, Perissodactyla, Equidae.
GGGGUCCCAGUCCAGGCAGGACUCGGCCCGGGCGGUGCCUGUGUCCAGCUCCCCGGUGCUGGGCUGGGCUGAAAUGCAGCAGAAGAGGCCUGGGAGUGGGUCGUAGUCCCACCUACCGUAGCCGAGGUCAUGUGACUGUGGGGGU